CCCUGAUGACCUCACCUUUCCUGUGAGGCAAAAUGAGGGCAGUGCCCAAGAUUCUCCAGCACUACUCCUAUUGAUGAAGAAACCUCUGCGACACUGGGAGUUUUGUCUCGGAGCCGCUGAGAGGUUUUAAAGAGAUAACACAUGGAAAAGCUCAUAUACUCCCAUAAGGGGAUUCUCGCCGCCUCCAGCCACCCUGAGACAUGCAGUGUGUUCACUUUGGAGUAAUGCAGAUCGCCCUGCAAAGUUUUUCCCCGACACUUUCGUUUAUUGGACAGCAGCCCCUCUGCGUGUCAACUCCUCUGCAAGAGCUCACGGGCCCAGGCCUCUCAGCUGUCCUCACCCUGAACGGACCAGAGGGCCUCUGAGACCCGCAGCACAGUCCAGUCGGAAAUAAAACCGCUCUGGGGAGGAACCCGGCC
RNAcentral lists this long non-coding RNA (419 nucleotides) under Homo sapiens (human). Its description in RNAcentral is "HSALNT0029200". The record is from RNAcentral. Lineage: Eukaryota; Metazoa; Chordata; Mammalia; Primates; Hominidae.